This 31-nucleotide non-coding RNA is filed under the name Rattus norvegicus (Norway rat). Lineage: Eukaryota; Metazoa; Chordata; Mammalia; Rodentia; Muridae. The record is from RNAcentral.
UACACUAUGGGUUCUAAGUAGUCAUGGGUCC